Molecule: ribosomal RNA, 227 nt
Filed under: uncultured bacterium
Lineage: Bacteria
Description: partial 16S ribosomal RNA
Rfam family: Bacterial small subunit ribosomal RNA
Source: RNAcentral
AGUAACGCGUGAGGAACCUGCCUCAAAGAGGGGGACAACAGUUGGAAACGACUGCUAAUACCGCAUAAGCCCACGGCUCGGCAUCGAGCAGAGGGAAAAGGAGCAAUCCGCUUUGAGAUGGCCUCGCGUCCGAUUAGCUAGUUGGUGAGGUAACGGCCCACCAAGGCGACGAUCAGUAGCCGACCUGAGAGGGUGAUCGGCCACAUUGGGACUGAGACACGGCCCAA